UUGCGGUUAAAAAGCUCGUAGUUGGAUCUCGGCGAGUAGGGGGCGGUUCGUUAUUUGACGGUACUGCCCCAUUUACUCGUGUUUUUGACAGAGGGUUGGUGGUCCCCUUUAUUGGAUGUCUCCGGUCACUGUCAGGUUUACUUUGAAAAAAUUAGAGUGCUCAAAGCAGGCUAUCAACGCCUGAAUAUUCGUGCAUGGAAUAAUAGAAUAGGAAGUCGUUUCUAUUUUGUUGGUUUUAGGAAAAUGACUUAAUGAUUAAUAGGGACAAUCGGGGGCAUUAGUAUUCAAACGACAGAGGUGAAAUUCUUGGACCGUUUGAAGACUAACUACUGCGAAAGCAUUUGCCAAGAGUGUUUUCAUUAAUCAAGAACGAAAGUUAGAGGUUCGAAGGCGAUCAGAUACCGCCCUAGUUCUAACCAUAAACGAUGCCAGCUAGCGAUCUGCGGGUGUGUAAUUCCAAGACCCCGCAGGGAGCUUCCGGGAAACCAAAGCUUGUGGGUUCCGGGGGAAGUAUGGUUGCAAAGCUGAAACUUAAAGGAAUUGACGGAAGGGCACCACCAGGAGUGGAGCCUGCGGCUUAAUUUGACUCAACACGGGAAAUCUCACCAGGCCCGGACACCGGAAGGAUUGACAGAUUGAGAGCUCUUUCUCGAUUCGGUGGGUGGUGGUGCAUGGCCGUUCUUAGUUGGUGGAGUGAUUUGUCUGGUUAAUUCCGAUAACGAACGAGACUCUGUCCUGCUAAAUAG
This 746-nucleotide ribosomal RNA is filed under the name uncultured marine eukaryote. RNAcentral describes it as "SSU rRNA". It matches the Rfam family "Eukaryotic small subunit ribosomal RNA", at positions 613 to 1358 of the family's 1831-position model. The record is from RNAcentral.